AUGGACCAAGUUGGCAGCAGCUCAAACACAGUUUCAGACGAGGAGAAUGAGAAUGAGACAAACAUUCAGACGAGGAGAAUGAGACAAACACUCUAUAAUGAAGCGACAAAUCGACCAAUUUGGUCACAUAUCACCUUGCCUUUCCAGCCUCUUUCACUUCCUUUCAACCAUGUAAGCCUACCUAUCUUUCUACUCACACAUAUCGUGUUAGGACUUAAAUUCAUCACCAGUAUGAUACCAUUAUCUACAAAUGUGGGCGGAAAAUACUUUAGGCCUAACAUAAAACCUCUCAGCUUGUGUUCCAGGAAAUGA
RNAcentral lists this ribosomal RNA (312 nucleotides) under Triticum aestivum (bread wheat). Its description in RNAcentral is "partial small subunit ribosomal RNA". The record is from RNAcentral. Lineage: Eukaryota; Viridiplantae; Streptophyta; Magnoliopsida; Poales; Poaceae.